Non-coding RNA from Schistosoma mansoni, 45 nucleotides. NCBI's taxonomy places the organism in Eukaryota, Metazoa, Platyhelminthes, Trematoda, Strigeidida, Schistosomatidae. The record is from Rfam.
AUCCAGCUGAUGAGUCCCAAAUAGGACGAAACGUGCGUCCUGAAU